CACGUAGGGGACGAGCGUUGUCCGGAUUCAUUGGGCGUAAAGCGCGCGUAGGCGGCUCGGAAAGUCGGUCGUGAAAUGCCGGGGCUCAACCCCGGGACUGCGUCCGAUACUUCCGGGCUGGAGGUAGGUAGGGGAGAUCGGAAUUCCUGGUGUAGCGGUGAAAUGCGCAGAUAUCAGGAGGAACACCGGUGGCGAAGGCGGAUCUCUGGGCAGUAACUGACGCUGAGGAGCGAAAGCGUGGGGAGCGAACAGG
RNAcentral lists this ribosomal RNA (253 nucleotides) under uncultured bacterium. Its description in RNAcentral is "partial 16S ribosomal RNA". It matches the Rfam family "Bacterial small subunit ribosomal RNA", at positions 524 to 776 of the family's 1533-position model. The record is from RNAcentral.